GAUUGGUGGGAGACGGGCCGACCCCGCCCCUCGCCCCCGCCUCCGGCCCGAGGCCGCACGGGUGUCCUCGCGCUGCUAGUCCGCGCGCAUCCUCGCAGUUUGCCGCUUCCUCGUCCUCCAUCCUGCGUCCAUGGCCACCGCUGCGACUGAGGAGCCCUUCCCUUUUCACGGUCUCCUGCCGAAGAAGGAGACCAGAGCCGCCUCCUUCCUCUGCCGCUACCCGGAGUAUGACGGGCCGGGGGUGCUCAUCGCUGUCCUGGACACGGGGGUCGACCCGGGGGCUCCGGGCAUGCAGGUUACAACUGAUGGAAAACCAAAAAUCGUUGAUAUCAUUGAUACAACAGGAAGUGGCGAUGUGAAUACUGCUACGGAAGUAGAACCAAAGGAUGGUGAAAUUGUUGGCCUUUCAGGAAGAGUGCUUAAGAAAGAACGGAAGGAAAAAAUCUGGGACCCUGUUCACAGAGUGGCCCUUGCAGAAGCCUGUAGAAAACAGGAAGAAUUUGACGUUGCCAACAACGGCUCUUCUCAAGUCUGAAAGGGACCUGAGAAUUUGCGACUCUAAGAAGUUCCCAAGUUAUGCAGAUGCUGUUGGUCUGAGGAACACAGUUGGAAAAACAAUGGGCCAAACCAUUUAUUCAUAAAAGGCAAACAGGAGAUAAUCAUGGCAGACAAGAGGCAGGACUAGAUUGCAACUCUGUCUCUGAUUAACAGAGAAGGGUGUGGAGUCUCGUAAUGUGAAUUUUAGCACCAGAACAACUCCAAGAACAAAUCCCGAGAAGAACCACAGACCCUCUGAAGGACCCGGGAGGCGGAGGUUGCGGUGAGCUGAGACCGUGCCAUUGCAUUCCAGCCUGAGCAACAAGAGCAAAACUCCGUAAAAAAAAAAAAAAAAAAAAAAAAAAAAAAACAGCCUGCAGCCCUAGACGCUGUGACAGAGCCUACCCAAAUGAGAAUGAACCAGAAAACCAACUCUAGUAAUAUGACAAAACAAGCCUCAUUAACACCCCCCAAAAAAAUCACUCUGGUUCACCAGCAAUGGAUCCAAACCAAGAAUAAAUUUCUGAUUUAUCUGAAAAAUAAUUCAAGAGGUUAGUUAUUAAGCUAAUCGUGGAGGCACCAGAAAAACGUAAAGCCCAAUGCAAGGAAAUCCAAAAAAUGACACAAGAAGUGAAGGGAGAAAUAUUCAAGGAAAAAGAUAGCAUGAAGAAAAAAACAAUCAAAAUUUCAGGAAAUAUUGAACACACUUAUAGACGUGCCCAGUGCUCUGGAAAGUCUCAGCAAUUGAAUUAAACAAGCAGAAGAAAGAAAUUCAGAGCUCAAGGCAAGAUCUUUGAAUUAACCCAAUCCAACAAAGACAAAGGAAAAAGAAUAAGAAAAUAUGAACAAAGCCUCUAAGAAGCCUGGGAUUACAUUAAAUGACCAAACCUAAGAAUAAUCAGUAUUUCUGAGAAAGAAAAGAAAUCUAAAACUUUGGAAAACAUAGUUGAGGGAAUAAUCGAGGAAAACUUCCCGGGCCUUGCUAAAGACCUAGACAUCCAAAUACAAGAAGCACAAAGAACACCUGGGAAAUUUCUCACAAAAAGAUUGUUGCCUAGGCACAUUUUCAUCAGAUUAUUUAAAGUUACUAUGAAGGAAAGAAUCCUAAGAGCUAUGGGACAAAAGUACCAGCAGAUUUCUCAGCAGAAACCCUACAAACUAGAAGGGUUUGGGGCCCUAUCUUCAGCCUCCUCAAACAAAACGAUUAUCAGCCAAGAAUUUUGUAUCCAGCAAAACUAAGCAUCAUAUAUUAAAGAAAGAUACAGUCUUUUUCAGACAAACAAAUGCUGAGAGAAUUCACCACAACCAAGCCACCACUACAAGAACUACUAAAAGGAGCUCUAAAUCUUGAAACAAAUCCUGGAAACACAUCAAAACAAAACCUCUUUAAAGCCUAAAGCACACAGGACCUAUAAAAAAAAAAUACAAGUUGAAAAGCAAAAACAAAACAAAACAAAAAAAAAGAAAACAAGGUACACAGGCAACAAAUAGCAUGAUGAAUGCAAUGGUACCUCACAUCUCAAUAGUAACAAUGAAUGUAAAUGGCCUAAAUGCUCCACUUAAAAGAUACAGAAGUGCAGAAUGGAUAAGAACUCACCAACCAACUAUCUGCUGCCUUCAGGAGACUCACCUAACACAUAAGGACUCACAUAAAGUUAAUGGGUGGAAAAGAGCAUUUCAUGCAAAUGGACAUCAAAAGCGAGCAGGGGUAUCUAUUUUUGAAUCAGACAAAACAAACUUUAAAGCAACAGCAGUUAAAAGAGACAGGUACAUUAGAUAAUGGUAAAAGGCCUUGUCCACCAGGAAAAUAUCACAAUCCUAAAGAUAUGUGAACCUAGCACUGGAGCUCCCAAAUUUAUAAAGCAAUUACUAAUAGACCUAAGAAAUGAGAUAGUCAACAACACAAUAAUAGUGGGGGACUUCAAUACUCCACUGACAUCAAGACAGAAAGCCAAAAAAAAAAAAAAAUGGAUUUGAACUAUCCCUUGGAACAAUUGGGCUUAACAGAUUUAUACAGAACAUUUCAUCCAACAACCGCAGAAUACACAUUCUAUUCAAAAGCACGUGGAACUUUCUCCAAGAUAGGCCAUAUGAUAGGCCAUAAAACAAGCCUCAACAAACUUAAGAAAAGUGAAAUUAUAUCAAGCCAUCUCUCAUACCACAGUGGAAUAAAACUAGAAGUCAACUCCAAAAGGAACCUUCAAAACGCACAUAUAUGGAAAUUAAAUAACCUGCUCCUGAAUGAGCAUGGGGUCAUAAACAAAAUAAAGAUGGAAAUUUAAAAAUUCUUCAAACUGAAUGACAAUAAUGACACGACCUAUCAAAACCUCUGGGAUACAGCAAUGGUGAUGCUAAGAGGAAAGUUUAUAGCCCUAAAUGCCUACAUCAAAAAGAUUGAAAGAGCACAAACUAACAUUCUGAGGUCACACCUCAAGAAACUAGAGAAACAAGAACAAAUCAAGGCCAAACCCCACAGAAGAAAGGAAAUAAUCAAGAUCAGCACAGAAUGAAAUGAAAUUGAAACAAAAAAAAUACAAAAGAUAAAUGACACAAAAAGCUGGUUCUUUGGAAAGAUAAAAUUGAUAGAGCAUUAGCAAGAUUAACCAAUAAAAGAAGAGAGAAAAUCCAAAUAACCUCACUAAGAAAAAAAUCGGGAGAUAAUUACAACUGACACCACCGAAAUAUGAAAGAUCAUUCAAGGCUGCUAUGAACACCUUUACGCACGUAAACUAAAAAACCUAGAAGAGAUGGAUAAACUCCUGAAAAUAUACAACUCUCCUAGCUUAAAUCAGGAAGAAUUAGAUACCCUAAACAGACCAAUAAUAAGCAGUGAGAUUGAAAUGGUAAUUUAAAAAUUACCAACAAAAAAAAGUCCAGGACCAGAGAGAAUCACAGCAGAUUUCUACCAGACAUUCAGAGAAUUGGUACCAAUCCUUUUGACACCAUUCCACAAGAUAGAGAAAGAGGGAACCCUUCCUAAUUCAUUCUAUAAAGCCAGCAUCACCCUAAUACCAAAACCAGGAAAGGGCAUAACCAAAAAAGAAAACUACAGACCAAUAUCCCUGAUGAACAUAGAUGCUAAAAUCCUUAACAAAAUACUAGCUAACCAAAUCCAACAACGUAUCAAAAAGAUAACCCACCAUGAUCAAGUGGGUUUCAUUCCAGAGAUGCAGAGAUGGUUUAACAUGCACAAGACAAUACACCACAUAAACAUAAUUAAAAACAAACAUCACAAGAUCAUCUCAAUAGAUGCAGAAAAAGCAUUUGACAAAAUCCAGCAUCGGUUUAUGAUUAAAACUCUCAGCAAAAUCGGCAUACAAGGGACAUAUCUUAAUGUAAUAAAAGCCAUCCAUGACGAACCCACAGCCAACGUUAAUACUGAAUGGGGAAAAGUUGAAAGCAUUCCCUCUGAGAACUGGAACAAGACAAGGACGUGCAUUCUCACCACUCCUCUUCAACAUACUACUGGAAGUCCUAACCGGAGCAAUCAGACAAGAGAAAGAAAUAAAGGGCACCCAAAUCAGUAAAGAGGAAGUCAAACUGUCACUGUUUGCUGACAAUAUGAUUGUUUAACUCGAAAAUCAUAAAGACUCCUCCAGAAAGUUCCUAGAAAUGAUAAAAGAAUUCAGCAAAGUUUCCAGAUACAAGAUUAAUGUACACAAAUCAGUAGCUCUUCUAUAUACCAACAGCGACCAAAUGGAGAAUCAAAUCAAGAAUUCAAACCCUUUUACGACAGCUGCAAAAAUAAAACAUAAAAUAAAAUACUUAAGAAUGUACCUAAACCAGGAAGCUAAAGACCUCUACAAGGAAAACUGCAAAACACUGCUGAAAGAAAUCAUAGACGACACGAACAAAUGGAAACACAUCCCAUGCUCAUGGAUGGUUAGAAUCAAUAUUGUGAAAAUGAUUCUACUGCCAAAAGCAAUCUACGAAUUCAGUAAAAUCCCCAUCAAAAUACUACCAUCAUUCUUCACAGAAUUAGAAAAAAACAACUCUAAAAUUCAUAUGGAACCAAAAAGGGGCCCACAUAGCCAAACCAAGACUAAGCAAAAGGAACAAAUCUGGACGCAUCACACUACCUGAUUUCAAUUUAUACUAUAAAGCCAUAGUCACCAAAACAACAUGGUACUGGUAUGAAAAUAGGCACAUAGACCAAUGGAACAGAAUAGAGAACCCAGAAAUAAACUCAAAUACUUACAGUCAACUGAUCUUUGACAAAGCAAGCAAAAUCAUAAAGUGGAGAAAGGACACCCUUUUCAACAAAUGGUGCUGGGAUAAUUGGCUAGCCACAUGUAGGAGAAUGAAAAUGGAUCCUCAUCUCUCACCUUAUACAACAAUCCACUCAAGAUGGAUUAAGCACUUAAAUCUAAGACCUGAAACUAUAGAAAUUCUAGAAGAUGACAUCAGAAAAACCCUUCUAGACAUUGGCUUAGGCAAGGAUGUCAUGACCAAGAACCCAAAAGCAAAUGCAAUAAAAACAAAGAUAAAUAGUUGGGACUAAAUUAAACUAAAGAGCUUUUGCACGGCAAAAGGAACAGUCAAGAGAGUAAACAGACAACCCACGGAGUGGGAGAAAAUCUUCACAAUCUAUACAUCUGAUAAAGGACUAAUAUCCAGAAUCUACAAUGAACUCAAAUCAGUAAGAAAAAAACAAACAAUCCCAUCAAAUAGUGGGCUAAGGACAUGAAUAGAUAAUUCUCAAAAGGAGAUAUACAAAUAGCCAACAAACAAAUGGAAAAAUGCUCAACAUCUCUAAUGAUCAGGGAAAUGCAAAUCAAAACCACAGUGCAAUACCACAUCACUCCUGCAAGAAUGGCCAUAAUCAAAAAAUCAAAAAACAGUAGAUUUUGCUGUGGAUGUGGUGAUCAGGGAACACUUCUCCACUGCUGGGGGGAAUGUAAACUAGUACAGCCACUGUGGAAAAUGGGGUGGAGACUCCUUAAAGAACUAAAAGCACAAGUACCAUUUUAUCCAGCAGUCUCACUACUGAGCAUCUACACACAGGAAAAGAAGUCAUUAUACGAAAAAGAUACUUGCACAUGCAUGUUUAUAGCAGCACAAUUUGCAAUUGCAAAAUCAUGGAACCAACCCAAAUGCCCAUCAAUCAACGAGUGAAUAAAGAAACUGUAGUAUGUAUAUACGAUGGAAUACUGCUUAGCCAUAAAAAGGAAUUAAUUAAUGGCAUUCGCAGUGACCUGUACCCCAAUAACCUAUGGAAAAAUUUAAAAAUAAAA
This is an RNA transcript of Symphalangus syndactylus (siamang), 5771 nucleotides long. It is a transcript of the gene named tripeptidyl-peptidase 2-like, with no coding region annotated. NCBI's taxonomy places the organism in Eukaryota, Metazoa, Chordata, Mammalia, Primates, Hylobatidae. The record is from RefSeq and is a predicted model, not a curated record.